RNAcentral lists this ribosomal RNA (232 nucleotides) under uncultured bacterium. Its description in RNAcentral is "partial 16S ribosomal RNA". It matches the Rfam family "Bacterial small subunit ribosomal RNA", at positions 118 to 347 of the family's 1533-position model. The record is from RNAcentral.
UGAGCAAUCUGCCCUUCUCAUCGGAAUAAGCGUUGGAAACGACGUCUAAUGCCGAAUACGACCUCCUUUCGCAUGAUCGGAGGUGGAAAGCUCCGGCGGAGAAGGAUGAGCUCGCGGCCUAUCAGCUAGUUGGUGUGGGUAAUGGCCCACCAAGGUGACGACGGGUAGCCGGCCUGAGAGGGUGACCGGCCACACUGGGACUGAGACACGGCCCAGACUCCUACGGGAGCAG